UACAGAGGUCUCAAGCGUUGUUCGGAUUCAUUGGGCGUAAAGGGUGCGUAGGCGGCGCGGUAAGUCGGGUGUGAAAUCUCGGGGCUUAACUCCGAAACUGCAUUCGAUACUGCUGUGCUUGAGGACUGGAGAGGAGACUGGAAUUUACGGUGUAGCGGUGAAAUGCGUAGAUAUCGUAAGGAAGACCAGUGGCGAAGGCGGGUCUCUGGACAGUUCCUGACGCUGAGGCACGAAGGCCAGGGGAGCAAACGGG
Molecule: ribosomal RNA, 253 nt
Filed under: uncultured bacterium
Lineage: Bacteria
Description: partial 16S ribosomal RNA
Rfam family: Bacterial small subunit ribosomal RNA
Source: RNAcentral